GCCAAAUCUGGCUUGUAAGAAGAGCCGAUCCACUGGAUCAUCGUCGACAAAGCGUUGGGGAAUCCGGGACCUUCUACGGAGAAGCCACAGCGACGGAAAACACUCGUACAUCCCCUUCACGCCGUCGACGAGUUCAAAUUCAACGAAGAAGGCUAAAGAAAUCAAAUCAGACACGAAAUCGAGGAAGGAAUUGAAGGAGAAGAAAG
RNAcentral lists this unclassified non-coding RNA (206 nucleotides) under Hevea brasiliensis (rubber tree). The record is from RNAcentral. Lineage: Eukaryota; Viridiplantae; Streptophyta; Magnoliopsida; Malpighiales; Euphorbiaceae.